RNAcentral lists this ribosomal RNA (253 nucleotides) under uncultured bacterium. RNAcentral describes it as "partial 16S ribosomal RNA". It matches the Rfam family "Bacterial small subunit ribosomal RNA", at positions 524 to 776 of the family's 1533-position model. The record is from RNAcentral.
UACGUAGGGGGCAAGCGUUGUCCGGAUUUAUUGGGCGUAAAGAGCGUGUAGGCGGCUACGCAGGUCCGCUGUGAAAACUCGAGGCUCAACCUCGAGCUGUCGGUGGAAACCGUGUGGCUAGAGUCCGGAAGAGGAGAGUGGAAUUCCCGGUGUAGCGGUGAAAUGCGCAGAUAUCGGGAAGAACACCCGUGGCUAAGGCGGCUCUCUAGUACGGUACUGACGCUGAGACGCGAAAGCGUGGGGAGCGAACAGG